CCCACUCCGGACGUAUCCACGCAACCGACAUUGUUCCUCGAAGUUGCCCACGCGUUGUAUUUAGAUUCAAUUUUUCUUAAACAUUUACACUAGAUUACCUCAGUUACCUUUUUAUUAACUAUUACGUAUCUAGUCUUACGUACCGUGUUAAAAGGUGUGUCACAAUGAAACCAGGACGAUCAAAGCUUAUGUUAAAACUGGUGGAAGAAAGAAGCAAAAAUGCACAAAUUACGAAUUUUACUCAUGAAGAGUGCACUGAUGAGGAGGACUGUAUACCAGGUACUCCAGGUGAAAAUCGCCGGAUCCCCACCCGCGCGGCAGGUGGGGUAUGUGGGAGUUGAACCUCACUAAAAACUCCUGCCGCUCACAACCGGCGCCCUAUCUCGGACCGGGCCGGAGCCCAGUCGGGGCUAUUGAAACGGCGGGACAGGGUUGACGCAGAGCACAUUACAUCCAUCCCACCGUCCCACGGACGCCGGACCGGUGGCCGCCAGCGACACGACCACCGGUUCCCUCGUUCAGCGGGCCGAGAGCCCGAGUCUUGGGAUAAGUAUGACGGAAGCACUUUGAUUGAAGAAGACAUGAGGGGGAAACAUAAAAAUCAUAAUCGGAUUGUUGACGAUGAAAUGGUAAUGUGGGUUUGCACCCACGUUAAAUCAUUUGUACCAGUAGAGUCGCAUUAUAGAGCAGCGUCCUAAUGGCUGUAUUUAGGUGACUUCGGUGACUUCAGCAUCGGUCGGAUGUUCAAUUUAUACAAAGAAUUGUCUGAACUCCAGCCUUAAAGAAAGCUUAUGUAGGUCUAAUUCCAAUCAGUAAUGAUAAAUAUAACAAUCUUAUUAGUCUUUGCAAUUCCUCAAUAAUACCCAAGAAAUAUCAUAAAUUUUUCAGAAGUUUAACUCAUGGACGUAAUGUUACUGAAGCUGGUAAUGAAUCCGACUGAAUAAUUGUGCACUAGGGUUUUUUUUUAUAAUUUUAGUUAUUUUAUUGUUAUUAUUUUGAUCUCUGAAGUUGUGAUUGUUAAGAUUUUUUUCAUUUUAAUAAAUGUUUUUUUCUUUUCUUUAUAAUUAAAUUCUAUAUAAUGAUUAGUAUUUAAAUUUUUAGGUUAGUAAUUUAACAAAAAAUCAGUAAUCAUAUCCAAAUAGAGUCAACAUUAUAGUCUGCUUAGUCUAUAUAGUAAUAAAAGAAUACCUACUAUUGAUAAUAAAUACUUAAUUUAAGCAUAAUGUAUAUCAUGUUGAUUAAAAAAGAGUAAGACCAA
Molecule: long non-coding RNA, 1258 nt
Organism: Bombyx mori (domestic silkworm)
Lineage: Eukaryota; Metazoa; Arthropoda; Insecta; Lepidoptera; Bombycidae
Exons: 2
Source: RefSeq, a predicted model, not a curated record